RNAcentral lists this long non-coding RNA (5499 nucleotides) under Marmota monax (woodchuck). Lineage: Eukaryota; Metazoa; Chordata; Mammalia; Rodentia; Sciuridae. The record is from RNAcentral.
UGCUAAAGUCUGGUUGAAGUUGUGGAUUUCUCUCUCCUUGUAGUGCAAUCAGUUUUUGCUGUUUGGAAGCCCUGGUGGUAGGUACAUACACAUACAGCAUGCUUGUGUCCCUUCCUGAAUUGACACCUUUUUUAUUUGAAAUGUCUCUGUUUCUGGUAAUAUUGUUUGCCCUAAAAUCUACUGUCUGAUUUUAACACAGCCACUCUAAGUCUCUCUUGAUUGGUGUUAGUGUGGUAUCGCUUCUUCCAUUCUUUCCUGUUAACCUCUCUGUGUCUUUUUAUUUAAAGUAGGUUUCUGGGUGGCAGCAUAUUGUUAGUUUUUGCUUUAAAAAAAAUCUGAUGAUUUCUGCCUUUGGGGGUUGAUUAUGGAUAUGGGUGGUGUUUAAGCCUACCAUCUUGCUAUUUGAUUUCUAUUUGUCCCAUUUAUUCUCUGUCCAGAAUUGAACUCUGAUCCCUCUCACAGCCCUGAAAUCCUGCCUCUCCCACCUGCCCUGCUGCCUCAUGAGCUCCAAACCCCACCUGCCUCCCAGGACUGCUGCCUGAGCUGCCUGCAGGCUGUUCUCCACAGCAGAGGGACUGGUCUUCAUAAGGUAAGUCAAAGUCAUCUCUUCUAUGUCCAAAUGCUCCUGUGGCUUCUCCUCUCACCUGGGGAAAACCACCCCAGAGCCUGCUCACCUCUGCGUUGUUCCUGGGUCACACCAGCCAUGCCUUAGCCUAAUGUUUUUCCUCUUUCUCUUUCUGGAAUGUUUUUCUUCCAGGAUCUUCGGUGGCUCACUCCUCCCACCUCAACCCGUGCUCAGGCCUCUGCUGAAGUCCCCCUGAGGGAGAGGAGGCCUGUUUGAACACCUUCUCCAAAAUAGCACCCCCACCAUGCCCCCCUUGCCUGGCUCUGUUUUUCUUCCCAGCUCCUUUCUUUGAAGUACACAUACUUGGGUUUUUAGUUCAUGAUCUCUGUCCCGCAACUAGAACGCAGUUCUCCAGUGAGCGGCGUGCUCUUGGCCUGCACCAGCGCUGACGAUGCCGUUCUGCUUGCCAGUCGUGUGAGUGCAAGAGCUAUUUGGGGCAUGAGUCAAUGAACAGGGUACUUUCAUCCCCAAGGCGAAUUACAGGGUGAGUCUAAGAGAACAGAGCCUAAUAAGAUACACUCCUCGUGGGCUGUGGCUGUGGCUCAGCAGUAGAGCGCUUGCUUAGCACGCUCACGAGGCCCUGGGUUAGAUCCUCAGCAGCACAUAAAAAUAAAUAAAUAAAAAUAAAUGUAUUGCAUCCAUCUACAACUAAAAAAUAAAUAUAUAUAUAUAUAUAUAUAUAAAAGAUAAGCUCCUUGGUGACCAAGCAAACACAGCAAAAUUGAUUUGUAGAAAACCCCCCCCCCAUGGAUUACUUCUGUGAAAUUAAAGAUGUGCACUAAGCACAUUGACAUCACGUACCCAUCAGUUCCUGGUGGGAUCCAUCCCAGGCUCCCUAGUUUUUCUCCAUCCAUAGUUGGAAUGGCAACCAGGAUGCAUUUCUUCAAGCCUUUGAAAAGAAGUGACACAAAUACAAAGGUCUUGAGGGAUAUCUGGAGAUUUGGGGGAUGCCUACGAUGGGUUGAAUUGUAUUCCUCCAAAAGACCUGAGCCCUGUAUCUGUGAACGUGUCCUUAUGUGGAAACAGGGUCCUUGCAGAUGUCACUGAGUUGAGAUCAGUCUGGAUCAGGGUUAGCUCUACAUUCAGUGACCAAUAUUCUUCUCAGGAGAGGGAAAUAUGGACCCAGAUCCGUGAAUACACACAGGACGAGCACCGUGAGCUUGGAGAGAUGCAUCUGUAAGCCAGGGUACACCAAGGGUGGCCGGGACCCAGGAGAGAGGCUUGGAGCAGAUUCUCCCUCUGGACUCCUGUGGGAACCAACCCUGCAGACUUCUAGGCUCCAGACCUGGAGAAGAAUCCAUUUCUCAUGUUUCAGCCGCGUGCUCUGGGGUGCUUUACUACAGCAUCCCUAGGAAACCACCAGGGCUACAUUCCAGGGGCAGCUCAGUACUUUGACCAGAGCGACAGUCCUACACCAUGGGAACUGUCAAGCAGGGAACUGAAAGAUCACGUGAUGGGAGAGGACUCCAUCUGCCAGGACAUGGAGUUGUCUGGGAUGUCCUGUGGCUGUGGGAUAAACCACUGCGCUUCCAGACAGAGUGGGAAAUCCGUCUGUCCUGCAUUCCUCAAAAAACAGAAUGGGUCGAAGGCCUGUGCGUUUGAUGUGGCCCGGAGACGAUGACUUUGGUGAGUCCCUCUGUGUGAUGGCUGUGGCUGCUCUCAGGGCCUGCAGGCCUGUGCUUUUCUCUGGAAACUUGUCGGAGUCCAGGGAGUCUCAGGAGACGAACGGAUGGUGAGGAGUCGGCGAAAGGCGGCGGAGAAACAACACAGACACAAGAGGGAAGGUGUUGCAUCUGAUUCUUUACUUGUGAAGUUAAUCAUAUAUACUUUUCAUUUUGGGAGGCUCACAGUAUUUUGUGGUUACAAAACAGGAAUCAUUAUUCAAAGAAACAGAAUUUUACGUAGCUACAAUUAGAUAAGAAGAAUGUCUCUUGGCUUAUGCAUAAGCAAGCAUUUUUACUUUCAGUUCGCAUUUUGCUUUGAGCUGUUUCUGCUUAGUUAGCUUUUAAUAAUAGUUGGAAAUGUCCCAGACUAUUGGCCUAUACCUUGACUAUUCUUUCUUGACUUACUGACUAGAACCGGCGCCGCGGUUACGGCAAGUGGUUGACUUGUUAUUAAUUUUAAUCAAACAAGAGUAAGAGCACAAACCAUUGUGCACAGGAACAAGAACAAGUUGCCCAGUGCCAAGCACUAAUCUGUCUUCUUAACAUUAAUUCUUCUUCUCUAGAUUUUAAUUUAAUUUCUCAAAAACUUCCUUGACUGUUUUUCCUACAGGGGGUUUCUCAUUAAACAUUAACAAUUUACAUUCCACAGCUGAAUCAUUGCAUUUAGAGCAAACAGAUUUAUUCUUUAGCAGUAGUUGCAUUAAUUGGGCAAGUCAUGUUUUUUCCUUCAUACUUAAUGGUCAUAUGAGAAGUUACAAUUACACUUAUUAACAGAAGUGCAAAAACAAACCAUCCCAUUCCCUGAAACAUGCUGUGCUCCUCCAGAGGAUGGACACCAUGUGCCAUCCACCUCAGUAGGGCCUUGCCUUUGCCUGAAUCAGGGGAGGGGCGCAGCAGAUGCUGAACACAGUCUGGUCCUUGACUUGAGGACCUGCAAUGUUAGCCUCCUCCCCUGGAUGCCUCUGGCAAGUCGGCCCCCCCACCAAGCGUUCCCUACAUCACCAGCUGAGGGAUGCCCCUCUCUGGUCAGCUUCCUGGGACUUUCUGAAUGGUAACUCAUGGCUUUCUCAGUCACCAAUCUGUCCCAUGUGUUUGCAUCAGCAAUAAAUGUCAUGACCAGGUGGAGGUGUCUGACGUGAUCUUUGCACUGUAGUCACAGAGCCAAGUGAGUAAACUCCAACACACGCCAUCAAGGAACGCAAGGGUCAUCACUGCAGUAGAGGAGGCUUGAUGUGACAAGCAGCAAUCUAGUCUUGGGGCUGCAACCAUGUUCCCGUUAGAUCUUCAUCAAAGGUGAGCUGUGGCUCUGCUCUAGUCAUCUUAUUCUGAGGGCCAGGCUGGUUGAAACUGUUAGUUGUAGAUGGACACAAUAUCUUUAUUUUUAUUCGUUUAUUUUUUAUGUGGUGCUGAGGAUCGAACCCAGGGUCUCACCCAUGCGAGGCAAGCGCUCUACAGCUGAGCCCCAGCCCCAGCCCAAGAGAUUGUUGCCCUUUUAUGGCAGAAGGAAAAGAGUGAUGUGGAGAACCACCAUUGGCCCUCAGGUUCAUGCUUAAAAGUGCCAUGUGUCACUUUGCAUUGUUUUUUUUUUUAAAGAGAGAGAGAGAGAGAAUUUUUAAUAUUUAUUUUUUAGUUUUCGGCGGACACAACAUAUUUGUUUGUAUGUGGUGCUGAGGAUGGAACCCGGGCUGCACGCAUGCCAGGCGAGCGCGCUACCGCUUGAGCCACAUCUCCAGCCCUUGCAUUGGUUUUAUUGGUCAAGGUAGGUCACGUUGCCAAGAAUGAUGCGAGUGAGAAGGGUGUGUUCUUCCCACAGGGAGAGGAAAUGAAAAGCCUCAGUGACUCCACGGUCUGUGAGGUUCCCUGUGGGACUUUUAGGUUAUGCUAUAUGUUUGAAAAUCACUGCAGGGUCAGAAAUUUUUGCGUACUAACUACUGGGUGAGAACUUUUUAAGUGUUCAUUUUCCUUUUGAAUCACCCUAUGUAAUAAUGCCCUUGUUAUGUGCUUACCGAGAAUGCAUGUGUCAAAAUCAACUCAAGGCAGAUCAGAGUAGGCACUAGAACAGAGACGCUGCACCUAAUUGAAGAAAAAAUACACCAGAAUCUUCAUCAUGUCAGCUUAGGACCUGACUUCCUCGGCAAGACUCCUAAAGUGCAAGAGGUAAAAUCAAGAAUCAAUAAAUGGGAUGAAUUCAAACUAAAAAGCUUCCUCUCAGCAAAGGAAACAAUCAAUAAUGUAAAGAGAGAGCCUAUAGAAGGGAGAAAAGUCUUUACCACAUGCACCUCAGAUAGACCACUAAUCUCCAGGAUAUAUAAAGAACUCAAAAAAUUAACACCAAAAAACCCCCUCAGAUAACCCAAUCAAUAAAUGGGCUGAUGAACAAAACAGACACUUCACAGAAGAAAAACUACAAUUUCUCAACAAACAUAUGAAAAAAUGUUUAUUGGGGCUAGGGCUGGGGCUCAGCAGUAGCUCACUUGCCUAGCAUGUGUGAGGCACUGGGUUCAAUUCUCAGCACCGCAUAUAAAUAAAUAAAAUAAAGGUCCAUCAACAACUAAAAAAUCAUUUAAAAAAUCGUUAUCAUCUCUAGUAAUUAGAGAAAUGCAAAUCAAAACUACUCUAAGAUUUCUUCUCACUCCAGUCAGAAUGGCAUUUAUCAAGAAUACAAGCAAUAAUAAGUGUUGAUGGGGCUGUGGGGAAAAAGGCGCACUCAUACAUUGCUGGUGGGACUGCAAAUUGGUGCAGCCACUAUGCAAAGCAGUAUAGAGAUUCCUCAGAAACUUGGAAAGGAACCACCAUUUGACCCAUCUAUCCACUCCUUGAUUUAUACCCAAAGGACUUAAAAUCAGCAAACUACAGUAACUCAAACACAUCAAUGUUUAUAGCAGCUCAGUUCACAAUAGUUAAACUAUGGCACCAACAUUGAUGCCUUCAACAAAUGAAUGGAUAAAGAAAAAGUGGUACAUACGCAAUGGAAUAUUACUCAGCCUUAAAGAAGAAUAAAAUUAUGGCACCUGCAGGUAAAUGGAUGGAACUAGAGAAUAUCAUGCUAAGCGAAAUAAGCCAGUCCCCCAAAACCAAAAGCUGAAUGGUUUCUCUAAUAAGUGGAUGCUGAUCCACAAUGGGCAGGGGGUAGGGAGGAAUGAAGGAACUUUGGUUUGUGCAGAGGGGAGGACGGUAGAAUGAGACAGACAGUAUUACCCCAUGUACAUG